Molecule: ribosomal RNA, 459 nt
Filed under: uncultured bacterium
Lineage: Bacteria
Description: partial 16S ribosomal RNA
Rfam family: Bacterial small subunit ribosomal RNA
Source: RNAcentral
CCUACGGGAGGCAGCAGUGAGGAAUAUUGGUCAAUGGGCGCUAGCCUGAACCAGCCAAGUAGCGUGAAGGAUGACUGCCCUAUGGGUUGUAAACCUCUUUUAUAUGGGAAUAAAGUGCAGUAUGUAUACUGCUUUGCAUGUACCUUAUGAAUAAGGAUCGGCUAACUCCGUGCCAGCAGCCGCGGUAAUACGGAGGAUCCGAGCGUUAUCCGGAUUUAUUGGGUUUAAAGGGUGCGUAGGCGGGUUGUUAAGUCAGUGGUAAAAUUUUGGGGCUAAACCGUAAAAUGCCGUUGAUACUGGGGACCUUGAGUACAGUAGAGGUAGGCGGAAUUCGUGGUGUAGCGGUGAAAUGCUUAGAUAUCACGAAGAACUCCGAUUGCGAAGGCAGCCUACUGGACUGUAACUGACGCUGAUGCACGAAAGUGUGGGUAUCAAACAGGAUUAGAUACCCUUGUAGUC